RNAcentral lists this long non-coding RNA (1616 nucleotides) under Struthio camelus australis. Its description in RNAcentral is "lncRNA (ENSSCUG00000009166.1)". The record is from RNAcentral. Lineage: Eukaryota; Metazoa; Chordata; Aves; Struthioniformes; Struthionidae.
AUGGUUCAGCAAAACCUGAGGGAGCUCCUCAGCUUCCUGCGGCUCCUGGUCAACACGCUCACCAUCCUGCUCAUCGAGCUGGUCCACUUCUUCAGCGAGUCCGUGAUCCAGGUGCUGGUGGUCGGAGUGCUGACGGCAAUAGGAGAUCACAUGUUGAAGCCCCUCUUGGUGACUCUGUCUAACAGCAUCCUGCAACCUCUGCUGCUGUUCCUGCUGNNNNNNNNNNCUGACCUACCCGGUCAUCGACAUCCUGGAGGGCAUCUGCUUGCAGGUCGCUGUGGUGCUUCGAGCUUUCAGAUUAGUCGAGAUCAACGUACAGUUGGACAGAGGAGCAGCUCAGGGGGUUUAGGUAGGCGCUCACACCGUGCAGAGCCCCAGCUGCCUGGAUGCCUGCGCCAACGCCUGGUGCUGCAGCACAUCUUCGCUGUGGCCGGAGGCACUGUUCAGCUUGAUACCUCGCGUUUGGCCUGUGGUGGCUUCCUGGCGAUGUGUCGGGCUAAGGGAUUUGUAACACGCAGACAGAAACGUGAAGGUGUGGACAGGUCUCUGGGCUCGGCAUGGCCGCAGGGCGCUGAGCUGCCUUGGCACAUUCACCAGCAGCUGUUCAGUGUCUCUAGGGUGGCAAAGGAAGAUGGGGAGCAGGGGAGCAGUUAUCUCUGCAAAGAGCAAUAUGACUUGACGGUGGCUGGGACUGUCUGCAGGCAAGGGGAGGCAGCGCAAAGGUGAGGCUAACGAUGCAGCCGCGUGUUUCUGUGCCGGUGGGAGAUGCACAGCACCCAUGGGACUCAGUUUUGUACGUUAUACUUUUUCAAGUAUCUCCUUAACCUACCUAUUAAAUUAGAAUUUUAUACCUCGGACAAUGUCUCUAACAAGUUGUUGUUACUCUUCCUUCCUGGGAGACUUUGCUUUCCAUUCUAGAUCAAUGCCGGGAAGGACUCCUAAGCGCCCUGCUGCAGCUGGCUGGCUGGGCUCCCCGGUGGGCUCAGCUGUUGGUACCGGGGGCAGUUUUGGGUCAGGAACCUGCUCUCCUUGGCCCUGGCAGCUCGCCUUGUGUGGUCCCUGCCAGGAGGGGACGGGUUUUCUGGAGAACGGAGCAGCUCCCAGGAACCUUCUUUCAGUGACUUGCUCAGUUGUGGUGUAUGACUGGACUGAAGCAUCUCUCUGGAUUUGGUCCCUGUGGCAAAGCUUACAAAGGAAUUUAGGGACCAGAUGGGAAAAAAAGCGUGAAUGCCAAGACACGUCUGUUCUAAAACUGAUGUUUUUUAGGAAUCCCUCGUUGCAACGCCUUGUUGCUUUUCACACUGGUGAAAUGACCUUGCUUUGCUUUACCCCCUGUUCCGAAACUGCACUUUGGUGCAUGACCAGCUUCUGUUCUAGCCUUAGAAAUGCUUCCUUGAUGCACGUAGUGGCGGCUGGGGAAAAUAUUGCUGGGCCGAUGGAGGCAGUUUCUGUGCCAUCCUGCUGCCAGCGCUCGAGCUCAGGCAUUGGAGAGCAGACGCUGGAGCGGCGCCCGCCGUGCCCGGUCCGGGCAGACCCGUGAAAACCAGCUGCCUCGUGCCUCAGCACAGGCUACUUGCCCACGGCCCAGCAGGACAGCUGAAAGCAGCGUUUUCCUU